RNAcentral lists this ribosomal RNA (1546 nucleotides) under Enterobacter cloacae. Its description in RNAcentral is "bacterial SSU rRNA". It matches the Rfam family "Bacterial small subunit ribosomal RNA". RNAcentral also lists the same sequence under 1 other name. The record is from RNAcentral. Lineage: Bacteria; Pseudomonadati; Pseudomonadota; Gammaproteobacteria; Enterobacterales; Enterobacteriaceae.
UUAAAUUGAAGAGUUUGAUCAUGGCUCAGAUUGAACGCUGGCGGCAGGCCUAACACAUGCAAGUCGAACGGUAACAGGAAGCAGCUUGCUGCUUUGCUGACGAGUGGCGGACGGGUGAGUAAUGUCUGGGAAACUGCCUGAUGGAGGGGGAUAACUACUGGAAACGGUAGCUAAUACCGCAUAAUGUCGCAAGACCAAAGAGGGGGACCUUCGGGCCUCUUGCCAUCGGAUGUGCCCAGAUGGGAUUAGCUAGUAGGUGGGGUAACGGCUCACCUAGGCGACGAUCCCUAGCUGGUCUGAGAGGAUGACCAGCCACACUGGAACUGAGACACGGUCCAGACUCCUACGGGAGGCAGCAGUGGGGAAUAUUGCACAAUGGGCGCAAGCCUGAUGCAGCCAUGCCGCGUGUAUGAAGAAGGCCUUCGGGUUGUAAAGUACUUUCAGCGGGGAGGAAGGCGAUAAGGUUAAUAACCUUGUCGAUUGACGUUACCCGCAGAAGAAGCACCGGCUAACUCCGUGCCAGCAGCCGCGGUAAUACGGAGGUGCAAGCGUUAAUCGGAAUUACUGGGCGUAAAGCGCACGCAGGCGGUCUGUCAAGUCGGAUGUGAAAUCCCGGGCUCAACCGGGAACUGCAUUCGAAACUGGCAGGCUAGAGUCUUGUAGAGGGGGGUAGAAUUCCAGGUGUAGCGGUGAAAUGCGUAGAGAUCUGGAGGAAUACCGGUGGCGAAGGCGGCCCCCUGGACAAAGACUGACGCUCAGGUGCGAAAGCGUGGGAGCAAACAGGAUUAGAUACCCUGGUAGUCCACGCCGUAAACGAUGUCGACUUGGAGGUUGUGCCCUUGAGGCGUGGCUUCCGGAGCUAACGCGUUAAGUCGACCGCCUGGGGAGUACGGCCGCAAGGUUAAAACUCAAAUGAAUUGACGGGGGCCCGCACAAGCGGUGGAGCAUGUGGUUUAAUUCGAUGCAACGCGAAGAACCUUACCUACUCUUGACAUCCAGAGAACUUUCCAGAGAUGGAUUGGUGCCUUCGGGAACUCUGAGACAGGUGCUGCAUGGCUGUCGUCAGCUCGUGUUGUGAAAUGUUGGGUUAAGUCCCGCAACGAGCGCAACCCUUAUCCUUGUUGCCAGCGGUCCGGCCGGGAACUCAAAGGAGACUGCCAGUGAUAAACUGGAGGAAGGUGGGGAUGACGUCAAGUCAUCAUGGCCCUUACGAGUAGGGCUACACGUGCUACAAUGGCGCAUACAAAGAGAAGCGACCUCGCGAGAGCAAGCGGACCUCAUAAAGUGCGUCGUAGUCCGGAUUGGAGUCUGCAACUCGACUCCAUGAAGUCGGAAUCGCUAGUAAUCGUGGAUCAGAAUGCCACGGUGAAUACGUUCCCGGGCCUUGUACACACGCCCGUCACACCAUGGGAGUGGGUUGCAAAAGAAGUAGGUAGCUUAACCUUCGGGAGGGCGCUUACCACUUUGUGAUUCAUGACUGGGGUGAAGUCGUAACAAGGUAACCGUAGGGGAACCUGCGGUUGGAUCACCUCCUUACCUUAAAGAA